GCUAAGGUCAGAGGAGAGCAGUGGUUGCUGGGCUAAGGUCAGAGGAGAGCAGUGGCCGCUGGGCUAAGAUCACAGAGGAGAGCAGUGGCCGCUGGGCUAAGAUCACAGAGGAGAGCAGUGGCCGCUGGGCCAAGAUCAGAGGAGAGCAGUGGCUGCUGGGCUAAGGUCACAGAGGAGAGCAGUGGCCGCUGGGCUAAGGUCAGAGGAGAGCAGUGGCCGCUGGGCUAAGAUCAGAGGAGAGCAGUGGCUGCUGGGCUAAGGUCACAGAGGAGAGCAGUGGCCGUUGGGCUAAGAUCAGAGGAGAGCAGUGGCUGCUGGGCUAAGCUCAGAGGAGAGCAGUGGGACCAGAAGCUGUUGAACCAGCAGUCAGCGGCCUGA
RNAcentral lists this long non-coding RNA (378 nucleotides) under Oryctolagus cuniculus (rabbit). Its description in RNAcentral is "lncRNA (ENSOCUG00000033306.1)". Lineage: Eukaryota; Metazoa; Chordata; Mammalia; Lagomorpha; Leporidae. The record is from RNAcentral.